AGAGUUUGAUCCUGGCUCAGGAUGAACGCUAGCGGCAGGCCUAAUACAUGCAAGUCGAACGAGAUUGAAGAGCUUGCUUUUCAUGAAAGUGGCGCACGGGUGCGUAACGCGUAUGCAACCUACCUUAAUCAGGGGGAUAGCCUCUCGAAAGAGAGAUUAACACCGCAUAAAAUCACAAGCUGGCAUCAGCAAAUGAUCAAAUAUUUAUAGGAUUAAGAUGGGCAUGCGUGACAUUAGCUAGUUGGUAAGGUAACGGCUUACCAAGGCUACGAUGUCUAGGGGAUCUGAGAGGAUGACCCCCCACACUGGUACUGAGACACGGACCAGACUCCUACGGGAGGCAGCAGUAAGGAAUAUUGGUCAAUGGAGGCAACUCUGAACCAGCCAUGCCGCGUGCAGGAAGACGGCCCUACGGGUUGUAAACUGCUUUUAUACGGGAAUAAACCUCUUUACGUGUAAAGAGUUGAAUGUACUGUAAGAAUAAGGAUCGGCUAACUCCGUGCCAGCAGCCGCGGUAAUACGGAGGAUCCAAGCGUUAUCCGGAUUUAUUGGGUUUAAAGGGUGCGUAGGCGGCCUAUUAAGUCAGGGGUGAAAGACGGUGGCUCAACCAUCGCAGUGCCCUUGAUACUGAUGGGCUUGAUUACACUUGAGGUAGGCGGAAUGUGACAAGUAGCGGUGAAAUGCAUAGAUAUGUCACAGAACACCAAUUGCGAAGGCAGCUUACUAAGGUGUUAAUGACGCUGAGGCACGAAAGCGUGGGGAUCAAACAGGAUUAGAUACCCUGGUAGUCC
RNAcentral lists this ribosomal RNA (791 nucleotides) under uncultured bacterium. RNAcentral describes it as "bacterial SSU rRNA". It matches the Rfam family "Bacterial small subunit ribosomal RNA", at positions 8 to 796 of the family's 1533-position model. The record is from RNAcentral.